Long non-coding RNA from Mustela erminea (ermine), 101 nucleotides. RefSeq lists it as uncharacterized. The transcript has 3 exons. The record is from RefSeq and is a predicted model, not a curated record. Lineage: Eukaryota; Metazoa; Chordata; Mammalia; Carnivora; Mustelidae.
UUUUUUUAAAGUAAUCUCUGUACCCAGUGUGGGGCUCAAACUCAUCACCCUGAGAUCAGGGGUCACAUGCUCCACCCACCGAGCCAGUCAGGCCCCUUCUC